Molecule: long non-coding RNA, 2207 nt
Filed under: Penaeus japonicus
Lineage: Eukaryota; Metazoa; Arthropoda; Malacostraca; Decapoda; Penaeidae
Description: uncharacterized LOC122267949, transcript variant X1
Source: RNAcentral
CAUGCGCAUUGCGUGCGGCAGAUGUUUCACGGAGCACAUUUCAAGGAGCGCGGCCGUGCCUCCUCCCUCACUCUCUCCCACAUGGCCGAAGGAGCGAAACUUCUCUUCUUAACCAAGCCGUUGGCUAAGGGUUGUGUACCCGUCAGGCUCCAGAGGAAGAAAGUUAAGGAGAAGUGAAGAUGCAUAAGAUGCUGUCUCUGGUGCAACUAAGCCAAGAUAGCAAUAUGCGUACAUUUGUAUUUAAAAUGUGUGACUGGAUACACGUGAAAGACCUUGCCUUCGAAACUUAGCAAGGUGUAUUGUGGUGGUUGAAGUCUUGCCCCUAUAACAUGCCAUAGAAGGAACAUGUGAUACUGUCCAGUUUGAACAUGGGAUAAUUGAGUUUGCCCUUAUUGCCAGUGAAAUAUUUAUACAGAUAAGGGACUGGCAUAUUCCUCCUGUACUUGAGCAAGUUCUCUGUAGGCUGGGAAGCCUACUUUAAUUUCUCCUUUGAACCAUGAGAACACAGCCUCAUUUACUUCGGAAUGAGUGUGAAGUCGCCCCUUCUCUACAUGACGUGUGCACAAGAUGUUCUCCAGUCCAAUCAUAUCCACCACGUGCACCAGUAGUGGAACCUUUUGAUUAAGAUGAGAUACUGCUUUCCUUCAUAUUUUCAUUGGAGAUGUUGCAGAAAAUGAAAGUUGGCAAAGUGUUGGCCUUGACUUGAUGAGGCAUAGGCAUUUAAUGGUCUGAGAAAUUGCAGGAGAUUUAUCUUAGGAUCAUGAAAUGCAGGACUGAUUGAUUGGAACAAAACCUGACCAGCAGUGAUUUUUAUAAGGUUUGAAAAUAGGAAUUCUUACGGCUGGAGAAUAGUAGCUGCUAUUAGGCUUGACUUUUGCUCAGGGUUCCAGUGUUUCAACUGUCCCAGAAUGAGCCACAGCAUUGAAACUUCAUGACACUAUUAGGUCAUGGAGGGUUGCUGUUCACAUCGGGCGGUUCUUGACAAUCGAUUGGUCCUGGAGUGAUAUUGGAAAAGAUUUGUGAUUAUAGAAGAUAACAGUGGAGCACCAUGUUGUCAAAUAAGCCACUUUCAUGAUUGGUCUAGGUGUUGGAGGUGGUGAAUGCUAUUGAUGUUGACACCUAAGCAAGAAUUAUGCUGUCUGUUGCAUUUAUCAUUAAGAUGGUCAGUUUUGAGGCCGAGUUGAUAUGACCAGAUGCAUUUUAUGGUGUUUGAGCAGCUGCAGUAAAUUAAGUUUGUGAAAUACAGGAUUGUGAAAUCUCAUGGCUGAUGUAGUGGAUACUUUUGACUAGUCUGGGCUAGUUUUGUGCUGAGAUAUUCAAGUGUGCUGUAUGUAGUAUUCUUCAUUGAAAGUGCAAUUGAAACUACUUAAUCAUGCAGAUGGCUUGCAAUUUCACUCAAAAGUGAAUGGCAUUUGGGAGCACUGUCUUACCAGGAUCCUAUUUCGUCCUUGGAUUAGGUGUUGAAUAUGGUGAAAACCCAUUGUUGACAGUGAGGCAAGAAAUUUGAUGUCUGAUGUCUGUUCUGCCCUUGUUAAAGAAAGGACAUGUAGAGUAAGCUGAAUAAGAUGGCAAAAAUUUUGCUUCUGAACUUCAAAUCCAUGAUUUAAUGAACUGGAACAUGCCCUCUAUUGGUGAGCAUAGAUUCUUGGGGAACUUGAUAGAAAACCCCUAUCCUGACCCCCCCCCCCCCCCUGAAGUUGAGGGUCACUACACAGAACCAUAAAUAGUUGAAACCACUCUUGUGGAUCCAAGACAGUGAUAAUCAUUUGCAUCUGAUUUAUAUAAGAUAUGAUAUAUUAUAUUUUGUAAUAAUUAUGCUACUUUCUAAUUUCUACCGUUUCCGGUGUGCCACAGUAGGAAUUAUGGUUUAAUAGCUUGGUACUGUUAUAUUCUCAAGGGUAGAAUAAAAUUUAUUAGGUGGGGAAGUCGUAAGUAGUGUAAAGCAUAAGUUGUAAAUUCAUGUCUUAAUAUGGUAAAAUUACAUCUUUAUUUUACUGGUAAGCUAAUUCUAUACAUUGAAAAUGGUAUGAUUAGAAUAAUCUGUUAAAUAAAUUUCCUCAUGCUAUUAUUUUUAUCUGCAUAUUUAUCCUAUAUCCCAUAGCUUUUAAAUGUUUCAAUCCUGGAAGGGCUGAAUGAAAAUGAAAUUUACAGUAUGUACAUAUUCUUGACUGAUAUGUAGAUUUUUAAAAAUAAAGAAUAACUAAUUA